CCGCCUAGUACGGUCGUACAAUCCUAUUCUGGAAUUUGCGCCAUGAUCUUGGGGACAUGAUUGGAACCUAGCUUAUUCUGUUAUAAAUCCAUAACGAUACUAUUCUGCGGUCGAGCAUACUCAGCUUCGGUACUCCUCGUAGUCCUAUCUCUGGUCUUUGCAUGCUAUCUUUGAUCUUGAGUCUGGUCCAUCGGAUUCGAACU
Molecule: long non-coding RNA, 203 nt
Filed under: Nicotiana benthamiana
Lineage: Eukaryota; Viridiplantae; Streptophyta; Magnoliopsida; Solanales; Solanaceae
Description: long non-coding RNA (NBEN_LNC003559)
Source: RNAcentral